CCUACGGGAGGCUGCAGUGAGGAAUAUUGGUCAAUGGGCGCGAGCCUGAACCAGCCAAGUCGCGUGAAGGAUGACGGCCCUACGGUUUGUAAACUUCUUUUAUAAGGGAAUAAAGUGAGGAACGUGUUCCUUUUUGUAUGUACUUUAUGAAUAAGCAUCGGCUAACUCCGUGCCAGCAGCCGCGGUAAUACGGAGGAUGCGAGCGUUAUCCGGAUUUAUUGGGUUUAAAGGGUGCGUAGGUGGUUAGUUAAGUCAGCGGUGAAAGUUUGUGGCUCAACCGUAAAAUUGCAGUUGAUACUGGUUGACUUGAGUACAGUUGAGGUAGGCGGAAUUCGUGGUGUAGCGGUGAAAUGCAUAGAUAUCACGCAGAACUCCGAUUGCGAAGGCAGCUUACUAAACUGUCACUGACAUUGAGGCUCGAAAGUGUGGGUAUCAAACAGGAUUAGAUACCCUGGUAGUC
Molecule: ribosomal RNA, 460 nt
Filed under: uncultured bacterium
Lineage: Bacteria
Description: partial 16S ribosomal RNA
Rfam family: Bacterial small subunit ribosomal RNA
Source: RNAcentral